CUCACUCAGAUUUGCUUCUAUGCCCCCAUCCAUGUUCUCCGAUGCCCGGGGCAAGUCGGGGGCCAAGAAGAGGGCUGCCUUUGGGACACCAUAGGAAAUGUUCCUUCUCCAUCUACAGAAGCCCACACAGCACCUUUAGGGCCCAGAAAGCCCCUCCAGGAGGGUUUGGACUUAGAAAACAGACCAGAAAGAUCUGUCUCGCCUCCCUUUCUUCCUCUUUUUCUACUUGCCUUGAAGUCUGACCGAGUCCCCGAGCCAGCUGCUGCCUGGCGGAGCUGGAAGCGAAGGGUGUCAGAGAGAGGAGGACACUUCCCAGCCCUUGUCGCCAGCACCCCUCAAUUUACUCCAACCGUGAUGCAAAUUGUCAUGAUUUCAUGCAUCUCCUCUGAUGCCCUAGGUUCCCCGAGAGAGCACGGGGACGGCACGGAGCAGGCACCGCCGUGGUCCGGGGCAAAUCCCAUUGCUGACCGAGGUGGGGAGGGGACUUUCCAGCCCUCUGGAGCAGCAGGAGGCCACAGCACCAUCCCAGAGACCUCAAAGGAGAUGGCAGAGAUAUCAGAUCCAUGGUCCUCUCCCUUCACUAAUUCCUCCACCACUAUCAACAGCGAGCCCGGACUUAUAGCCAUAGAGCUGGGAGGAUCCUGGAGAGACCACCUGGUCCAGCCCACUGACAUGUAAGGAUGAAGCAAUUGGGACCCAAGAUGUUAAGGCUGGAUGUAGACCUGAAUGGUGCAUCAUGGAGACACAGUGAAAGAACUUGAGAAUGGGCUUGCUUGUUGGACUCUUUGACCUUUAUUAUUUUAUUUUUAUUAUUAUUUUUCCCACAGUCUCCUCUCACCAAGGCUGACUCUUCAACCUUUAAUAUCCCUUCUCCCAGCCCUGAGAGGACCCACUCUGAUGCAAGACUUCUCCCAGGUCCCCAGCACACAAAUGGUAGCUUUGAGAGCAGACAGGAUGUUAAGAAGGGUGAGGAGAGAUGGAAACGAUGUCACCAGAGCCCCUGGCCUGGCCACAUGGGAUCUCAGUAAAAUCAUUUUACUGAUCAAAAACUCAAUAGGUAUUCAUGUCCUAAGAAACUAUUAUGUGCCUAGACUGUUCUAGGUGUGUGUUAAGGGUGUAGGGGAAGCAGACGAGUGUAAGACACAUGGCUUGCCCUCAAGGCAUUGGCGGUCCUGUUAAGGAAAGAGAAGUGUGACAAGUUAGCUAACCAUUCAGUCCGGACAUGCCAGGAGGUACAGAGAGUAAGUGCAGGGUGAGGAGGCCGGGGAUGGGGACAGAUUCCUUGGGGAUGCAUAAGCAGGUGUAUCAGUCAGAAUAGGCUAAGUUACACUGGGGUAACAAAUGUCCGGAACUACCUGUGGCUCACAAUAGCAAUGGUUUGCAUCUGAUUUAUUCUAACUUGCUCUGUGUAGAUCAGCUGCAUUGUUCUCUUCAUUUUAGAACCCAGGCUGAGGCAACAGUCCCUCCCUAAGACAUUUCUAUUUGUCGCGGUGGCCAGAAAAGAGAGAACUGGCUGGUAAUGCUUCUGCUUGGGUGUGUGUUACUUGUCAUUUCUAUUCACAUUUCAUUGAGCGAGUCCCACGUUGAGUGUCAUUCCAUCUUAUGACCAAAACAAGCAACAUGGCCAAGCCCACUGUCAAUGGAACGGGGACAUACAGAACUUAUUCUUGAAUAAUAAUACCAUGUCCUACAGCAAAGAAAGCUUCCUGGGGAAGAAGCGACAUGACAUGGGCUUUGAAAGACAAAUGCAAUUUAAAGAAGAAAGGAAACAUGACAUUAAUUCAGAGAGGCAGCAUGUUCUAGAAGUCUAAAGAGUGGGCUCUAGAGGCAGGUUGCCCUGGGUUGAGUUGUGUCUAUACCUCAGUUUCCUUAUCUGUUUUAUGGGAACACUAAUAAAACAUACUUGAUACUUGUGAAUUCA
RNAcentral lists this long non-coding RNA (1921 nucleotides) under Felis catus (domestic cat). RNAcentral describes it as "lncRNA (ENSFCAG00000051379.1)". Lineage: Eukaryota; Metazoa; Chordata; Mammalia; Carnivora; Felidae. The record is from RNAcentral.